UGAUGUGACCAAUUCAUUUUUCUACUGUUGGUUUUGAUUUGUGUACAGUGUAUUAACCAUGUAUCAUAUUCAAUAAUCUUGUAAUGUUUUUUCAAAAAAUGUGUACAAAGACUAUGGUAUAGGCAUUUUGAUACGGCCAAGGAUCUUGAAUUUUAGCUUAUUUAGAUAAGACAUGUUGGCCUUUUAAUAGAGCUUAAUUCAAAAUAGGUCUUUAAAUAGGUUAACAGACCGAAGCACACGUAAAAAAACGUCUAUGACAAGUAACAGAUUAGACUUGCGUCUUAAAUAUGUAGAGAAAAUCUUGGCCUAAUCUAGCCUAAUUCCAUCCCCAUUGGAUUCGGGAAACAUAUUUAAUUGUUUAUCGGUUUAUAAAACAACAAUCAAAAUGGGGGUGAAACGACCCGUUUAUUGUUUAUGAGCUUAAUUAUUAUAAUUGUCAUUAUCAUAUUAUAUUAUAUAAAAGUGAUUAUGCAAGGAUGGGGGAGGAAAAAAAAAACGUGGUCUGAUUGAAAAGGGGGUGGGGUCACGUAACCCACCUUUUGUUUUUUGAAAAUAAGAUACCCUAAUUGUUUAAAGAAAAACCAUUGAACCUACUCCCAAUAUUUCUUUCCCAGCCGUAACCUCCCUUUCUUCUUUCUCGACAUAUUCUCCUCCUUACUUCUCCCACAGAACUUCUUCAAUUUCUUCUUUUACUCUUGUUCCAAAGGAAAACAGCCCCAAUUCCCCUUUAAUAUAUAUCCAUUCACGAACAAGGUUGACGGGGUUUCAAAUGGAACAAACCUGGUUUAACUGUUUGGAGUAGGAGUGGUGCUUUGAAGGAGAAGUAAAUCCAGCCCUUCAGCAUUGUCCAAUUCAAUUUAUUUAAGAUUUGACGGGUGAAGGUUCGUUGGGUUGUCGCGAAAUUGCUGAGGACGGUCCAGUUGGCUCGUUAUAGCUAUUCUUCAGCAGCUGAGUAGCAAGCUGUUCUUGGAUUCAGAUUGUCAGUUGUCUUGCUGGUAGGCCUCCAUCAGCUGGUGGCCUCAUUGCUAUGUUACUUCUUUGAUUCUAGUUAUCUGCAGCUAUAGGGAGUCAUAAGUGAAUUUAGUUUGGGGUUGACGGUAUCUUCUUAAUUUUAAAGGUUGACAUUGAGCGUCGAAUUUUGGUUUUGUACCUUUUCUUGAAAUUUGGAUUUGGAGAAUAUUAUUUAGCAGGUUAUGUUAUUUUGAGAUUACUGAAAUACAAAGGAGACUCUGUCUUUUUUUAUAAA
This is a long non-coding RNA of Lotus japonicus, 1246 nucleotides long. RefSeq lists it as uncharacterized. NCBI's taxonomy places the organism in Eukaryota, Viridiplantae, Streptophyta, Magnoliopsida, Fabales, Fabaceae. The transcript is spliced from 3 exons. The record is from RefSeq and is a predicted model, not a curated record.